AGUGAACGCUGGCGGUAGGCCUAACACAUGCAAGUCGAACGGCAGCACAGUAAGAGCUUGCUCUUACGGGUGGCGAGUGGCGGACGGGUGAGGAAUACAUCGGAAUCUACUUUUUCGUGGGGGAUAACGUAGGGAAACUUACGCUAAUACCGCAUACGACCUACGGGUGAAAGCAGGGGAUCUUCGGACCUUGCGCGAUUGAAUGAGCCGAUGUCGGAUUAGCUAGUUGGCGGGGUAAAGGCCCACCAAGGCGACGAUCCGUAGCUGGUCUGAGAGGAUGAUCAGCCAAACUGGAACUGAGACACGGUCCAGACUCCUACGGGAGGCAGCAGUGGGGAAUAUUGGACAGUGGGCGCAAGCCUGAUCCAGCCAUACCGCGUGGGUGAAGAAGGCCUUCGGGUUGUAAAGCCCUUUUGUUGGGAAAGAAAAGCAGCAGGUUAAUACCCCGCUGUUCUGACGGUACCCAAAGAAUAAGCACCGGCUAACUUCGU
This 491-nucleotide ribosomal RNA is filed under the name uncultured bacterium. RNAcentral's name for it is "partial 16S ribosomal RNA". It matches the Rfam family "Bacterial small subunit ribosomal RNA", at positions 29 to 506 of the family's 1533-position model. The record is from RNAcentral.